AGUCGAGAAUCAUUCACAAUGGGGGAAACCCUGAUGGUGCAACGCCGCGUGGAGGAUGAAGGCCCUAGGGUCGUAAACUCCUGUCAUAUGAGAGUAAGGCAUAUUAGUUAAUACCUAGUAUGUUUGAUAGUAUCAUAAGAGGAAGGGACGGCUAACUUCGUGCCAGCAGCCGCGGUAAUACGAAGGUCCCGAGCGUUGUUCGGAAUCACUGGGCGUAAAGGGAGCGUAGGCUGCGCGGUAAGUCAGAUGUGAAAUCCCAGGGCUCAACCCUGGAACUGCAUCCGAUACUGCCGUGCUAGAGUAAUGGAGGGGUAACUGGAAUUCUCAGUGUAGCAGUGAAAUGCGUAGAUAUUGAGAGGAAGACCAACGGCGAAGGCAGGUUACUGGACAUUUACUGACGCUGAGGCUCGAAGGCCAGGGUAGCGAA
Molecule: ribosomal RNA, 427 nt
Filed under: uncultured Rubritalea sp.
Lineage: Bacteria; Pseudomonadati; Verrucomicrobiota; Verrucomicrobiia; Verrucomicrobiales; Rubritaleaceae
Description: bacterial SSU rRNA
Rfam family: Bacterial small subunit ribosomal RNA
Source: RNAcentral